RNAcentral lists this ribosomal RNA (500 nucleotides) under uncultured bacterium. RNAcentral describes it as "partial 16S ribosomal RNA". It matches the Rfam family "Bacterial small subunit ribosomal RNA", at positions 30 to 523 of the family's 1533-position model. The record is from RNAcentral.
AUUGAACGCUGGCGGCAGGCUUAACACAUGCAAGUCGAGCGGAGAUGAGGUGCUUGCACCUUAUCUUAGCGGCGGACGGGUGAGUAAUGCUUAGGAAUCUGCCUAUUAGUGGGGGACAACAUUCCGAAAGGAAUGCUAAUACCGCAUACGUCCUACGGGAGAAAGCAGGGGAUCUUCGGACCUUGCGCUAAUAGAUGAGCCUAAGUCGGAUUAGCUAGUUGGUGGGGUAAAGGCCUACCAAGGCGACGAUCUGUAGCGGGUCUGAGAGGAUGAUCCGCCAAACUGGACUGAGACACGGCCCAGACUCCUACGGGAGGCAGCAGUGGGGAAUAUUGGACAAUGGGGGGAACCCUGAUCCAGCCAUGCCGCGUGUGUGAAGAAGGCCUUAUGGUUGUAAAGCACUUUAAGCGAGGAGGAGGCUACUGAGACUAAUACUCUUGGAUAGUGGACGUUACUCGCAGAAUAAGCACCGGCUAACUCUGUGCCAGCCGCCGCAGUAA